RNAcentral lists this non-coding RNA (45 nucleotides) under Schistosoma margrebowiei. The record is from RNAcentral. Lineage: Eukaryota; Metazoa; Platyhelminthes; Trematoda; Strigeidida; Schistosomatidae.
AUCCAGUUGAUGAGUCCUAAAUAGGACGAAACGUGUGUCCUGGAU